UACAGAGGUCUCAAGCGUUGUUCGGAUUUACUGGGCGUAAAGCGUGCGUAGGCGGCGAGGUAAGUCAGAUGUGAAAGCUCAGGGCUCAACCCUGAAAUUGCAUCCGAUACUGCCUUGCUAGAGUAAUGGAGGGGAGUCUGGAAUUCAUGGUGUAGCAGUGAAAUGCGUAGAUAUCAUGAGGAACACUAGUGGCGAAGGCGAGACUCUGGACAUUUACUGACGCUCAGGCACGAAGGCUAGGGUAGCGAAGCGG
This 253-nucleotide ribosomal RNA is filed under the name uncultured bacterium. RNAcentral describes it as "partial 16S ribosomal RNA". It matches the Rfam family "Bacterial small subunit ribosomal RNA", at positions 524 to 776 of the family's 1533-position model. The record is from RNAcentral.